Polypterus senegalus (gray bichir) is the source of this 392-nucleotide long non-coding RNA. RefSeq lists it as uncharacterized. The transcript has 3 exons. Lineage: Eukaryota; Metazoa; Chordata; Cladistia; Polypteriformes; Polypteridae. The record is from RefSeq and is a predicted model, not a curated record.
UGGGGUCAUAGAAGGCUAGAGCCCAUCCCAGCACCAGACAGGAAUCAAGCCUGCUUGGAGUGGUAGUCUUUAGCAUGGGUGGAGCCAAGCCAGUAAAACGAGGCCACCGUGAGACUAGACACGCGGCACAUGUGCCCAGGGGGUUUACGACAAACUGAACAGGACACCGAGUACCAACACUCUUCUCCUGAUCGGCUUCAUUUCUACUGCAGCUCCAGUACAGUGUUGUGAACAUCAAGGAUGUAAUCCAGUAGCAGUGGUGGACUUGAGACAGACAGACGGCAGCUCUAGAAAGGAUGUCAGACCAAUCACCUACAGUAAGAGCAGUAAUUACUUUUACUUCCAGCAAUAAUUAAAAAACGAGAAUCCACUGCAGUUCAGCAACUUUUUGU